Molecule: long non-coding RNA, 584 nt
Organism: Pezoporus occidentalis (night parrot)
Lineage: Eukaryota; Metazoa; Chordata; Aves; Psittaciformes; Psittacidae
Exons: 4
Source: RefSeq, a predicted model, not a curated record
CCUGAGGCUGGAGGGAGCCUUUGUUCCAGAGGACGGGGCUACAGGAGCAGCGUUUAUCGGAUUUCUGAGCACAUACCGCACUGAACUGCAGUGUAAUUCUUAAGUAAGACGUAUUUUUAGUGCGUGUUAGUUUUAAUUAGGUUUAAACGUAGCUGAGGAAGUAGAAGUGCCAGGCAAAUGCACGUUACUUUUGGCCCCUCUCGCUGGUGGGGAAGGUGGGCCCGUGCCAGCCCCAUCUUCAUGUCGGUGAAGAGCAAAACCCAGGUUGGAUGUGCUGAGGUGUUUCCUAGAGGAAAGGCAGUAAUUCGAAUUGUGUGUGAAACAACCACCUCACACUUCCAGGUUGAACACAUAAAACACACCAUGAGAAAGCUCGAAGCUGACAUACGGAAGGCUUGGAGCAUCUUGCAUCUCUGACUGUGCUGAACUUCCUCCUGGCAGGAUUCCUCUGAAACUCUUGGGAACUCCAGGCACCACAGGGAUGAUCAACUUCAGAAAGAAGUUGAGAUGGAAGGCGCCAAAAUGUGCUAAAUGGGGUUGGAAUAUCCCUUUCUCUGAGGCAUUGCCUGCAGUGACCAACAAGC